AUGAUACAAUUUUGAAUCAUUUGACAUUUAAGUGAUGCUAGUGAUGCUGCACAGGGGUGUAGGCUACUAACUUCUGUUGUAUAAUCUACGGUAGGGUGUGUCGUGUUAGCUGGUCAUUCUAUAUCUGACUCCACCUUUGUGGUUUCUCUUUAUCGUUCGAUUUUGCCCAAAUUCACAUUCUUCUGUGCUUCUGCGCAUUAGCUUCGCCCGCGAAACAUCUUGAAUGGACUGCAUAACGUAACUUUCGUGCAAUAUCCCUGACAAGGCAUGUAGGUUCCAUCAGGGUAGGCUAAGAAAACAUGUGUGACUAUGAGAGAGAAUGCGCUAUAGGCUGUCUUGGCUCGGGGGUUGAUGACGAACGGCAAAGGCUCAAGGUAUGCGUUCACUCCCUUGCUCACCCUCAGCUCGCUUGGCUGCUGGAGUUUCGGGCGGUUUACUCGUUGUAACUGUUCAGUGGGCUACUCGUAAUCUAUAAUGGGGGAUCUAUAAUGCUUUAUAACCGGACUGCAAGCGACAUGAAUACACCCCGGUGCCAGAGGACCUUUUCAAUUCAUUGACUUGAAGACGAAUGGAGACAAUUAAUUCGUAGGCUAUAACAGCAGAGUAGCCUACAAGGUUGUCUCACAUCAAGAUGCUUUUGAUCGAAAUUGUACUCCUGUCGUUAUUUACAAUAAAUACAGCACAGUCUCCAGAUCACCCACCAAUCAUCAACAGCGAUAUAUUUCCAGCAAUGCCUCAUCUCCUGGGACAGUCAUAUCUCAGUCUGGUCUUGCUGGCGCUGACAGUGGGGUUGUCCGGAGGAGUGUACCUCUGUGUGCUACGCUACAUCUGCGUUGGUUGUUGCCAGCCUGUCCUGGUUGGACCUGAGGAUCAAAACAUCUCUGGGGUCGUCUAAUACGACUCCGUGUCUGUCUCCGAAUGCCCCACAGUGUCUUGAGAAUACACUGAAGCAGCUGCACAGCAAAGGAUCACACCUCUAUCGACAUUGUAACAGUUGCCAAUAUGGAGGCAGAGUCAGACCUGACCGCACGUUUAGGAUUUUUUCCCCCCUCUUUGGGAAUAUGUGAAAGGAUUUGGGAUGCAUCAUAUUCCCCAGCGGAAACACUUCACGAAGUGGCACAUCAGACAUACUAUUGCAUUUGUAGCAAAAUGACAGUUUGUAAGCAUUUGCUUCUUGUAAUUGAAAGGCAGUUGUUAUUGUGGUCCUCAGUCAAGUUAGAACAAAAUGUGGUGUGUAACUGAGACAGUUUUGUCACUGUGGGGUACAAUUAAUUGUAAGUAUAGGGUUUGUCUCAAGAGGUGUGGCUAUUUAGAAUGCAAAAGGGCAGAUUAUUUAUAAUUGCAUCACAUUUGCAUAUUGCUUACCUCUGUGAGUAGGUCAUUGCCCCUGGCACAAUGAACCUGAUUGACAGGUAACACUUUUCUUAGAAUUACUUUUUUUCACUGGGAAAGAGGUAAUGGACUGGUUGUUGCCAUGGGCUACUGAUGGCUCCUGUUGCCAUGGAAAUAAAUCCUCAUGUUGGCCACUAGAUGGGGCUCAGCUCAAAGUAGUGCGGCACAGCCAUCCUGAACCAAAUGGAGGGACACAGUCACAGCCCAGGUGGUAGCUGAGACUGAAGCGGCUCCAUCCUCAUCUUUUGGAUCAGGAUCAGAUUUACCCAUCAGUCAGCCUGGAGAGGUAUCUGUGCCUACUGAUUAGAUGUAUGCUGUUGUAAUGGCUGCUUAUAAAAAGGAGUAUAGAUAUUUUUUGUGUGUCUUCAUCGCAGACCAUUAAAGUAUUUCGACAGAACCUGCUGGGCAUUAUAUGUUUGACAUAUUUUUGGUCUUUUUGAGAGAAAGGUGAAGUGACUCAUUAAUGAUAUGCCUCAGAGUCAUUUAAUUUACCCUCAAAAAGCAACCAGUGUAAAGUACAGCAUGUUGGCACCCCCACUACUUCACUGGAUUUUAUAAGAAGACAUUAUAAGAAGUUCACAGUUUCUCUCAUUACAAUCCCUGUAAGUGAGGUUUGGUGUAGCGUGAGUGCUCAUACUGUCACAUUUAAGUAGCCUUUAUAAAUUAUAAAAUGUGAUCAGUGUUCACUGUAGUACAUUAGACAUUUGCUUACUGUGGUGAGUUGAGGGGCUGAGGUUGUCUGUAGGAGGAGAUCAUCCUUAAUAUGAUAAAACAGUAUUCAGUAUUAAUUUGACUGCAAAAGCAAUAUCCCACAUAUCUUUCAAUAUGCUGUUGAUUGUUCAUUUGUAACAUGUUUGUAAACAUAUUUGCACAUGCUCAUUAAACAUUGUUGGACAUUAAAUAAAAGUGCAAAAUGGCUUAAAAUGCUUGUCCCCUGGCUGUGUUUAGUUAGGGAAGAACUGACUUAAAGAGACAGUAUGCA
Clupea harengus (Atlantic herring) is the source of this 2374-nucleotide long non-coding RNA. The record is from Ensembl. NCBI's taxonomy places the organism in Eukaryota, Metazoa, Chordata, Actinopteri, Clupeiformes, Clupeidae.